AUACGUAGGGUGCAAGCGUUAAUCGGAAUUACUGGGCGUAAAGCGUGCGCAGGCGGUUUUGUAAGACAAAGGUGAAAUCCCCGGGCUCAACCUGGGAACUGCCAUUGUGACUGCAAGGCUGGAGUGCGGCAGAGGGGGAUGGAAUUCCGCGUGUAGCAGUGAAAUGCGUAGAUAUGCGGAGGAACACCGAUGGCGAAGGCAAUCCCCUGGGCCUGCACUGACGCUCAUGCACGAAAGCGUGGGGAGCAAACAGGAUUAGAUACCCUGGUAGUCCACGCCCUAAACGAUGUCAACUGGUUGUUGGGGAUUUAUUUUCUCAGUAACGAAGCUAACGCGUGAAGUUGACCGCCUGGGGAGUACGGCCGCAAGGUUAAAACUCAAAUGAAUUGACGGGG
RNAcentral lists this ribosomal RNA (395 nucleotides) under uncultured bacterium. Its description in RNAcentral is "partial 16S ribosomal RNA". It matches the Rfam family "Bacterial small subunit ribosomal RNA", at positions 523 to 918 of the family's 1533-position model. The record is from RNAcentral.